GGUGCCGUUGCGUUGUGGUUGGACGUGUGUUGACUAGCAGUUUUUUUCAUCUCCCAUGUGAUCUUGGACACUGAGUCAGGCUAGGCAGCUUUGGGCUGAUGUUAGCUGGUCAGGGUGCCGGCCCUGUGGGCACCAUGAGGCGAGGGACCAGCCUGCAGAGCCGGCGCAGUAAGGGGACAGGGGGGAACGGGACAGGGGCCGGAGUAGGAGACCGGGACCCCUCUCUGAGAGGCAGCCCCCAGGCCCCCCAGCGCCGGCCUACCUACGAUGCACAGCAGCAUUCCGUCCGCCCGCGCUCCUCCUCCACCACUGACAACACCACACCAAGUAGCCCUUCCCUUGGUUACCACCCUGGAUACGUGACGCCAGGCGACGUGGUGCUAUCGUCAGGAUACCAGUCCACGGAGGAGACAGAGAGGAGUGCAGAUCAUUUCGGAUAUGACUCUACAUCUGGAUCGACCCAUCUGCUUGAUAUACGUUAUCCUAGCAAGAA
Long non-coding RNA from Oncorhynchus tshawytscha (Chinook salmon), 493 nucleotides. The record is from Ensembl. Lineage: Eukaryota; Metazoa; Chordata; Actinopteri; Salmoniformes; Salmonidae.